AUAGGGGAGCCGUAGGGAAACCGAGUCUUAACUGGGCGAAUGAGUUGCAGGGUAUAGACCCGAAACCCGGUGAUCUAGCCAUGGGCAGGUUGAAGGUUGGGUAACACUAACUGGAGGACCGAACCGACUAAUGUUGAAAAAUUAGCGGAUGACUUGUGGCUGGGGGUGAAAGGCCAAUCAAACCGGGAGAUAGCUGGUUCUCCCCGAAAGCUAUUUAGGUAGCGCCUCGUGAACUCAUCUUCGGGGGUAGAGCACUGUUUCGGCUAGGGGGUCAUCCCGACUUACCAACCCGAUGCAAACUACGAAUACCGAAGAAUGUUAUCACGGGAGACACACGGCGGGUGCUAACGUUCGUCGUGAAGAGGGAAACAACCCAGACCGCCAGCUAAGGUCCCAAAGUCAUGGUUAAGUGGGAAACGAAGUGGGAAGGCUCAGACAGCCAGGAUGUUGGCUUAGAAGCAGCCAUCAUUUAAAGAAAGCGUAAUAGCUCACUGGUCGAGUCGGCCUGCGCGGAAGAUGUAACGGGGCUAAACCAUGCACCGAAGCUGCGGCAGCGACAUGUAGAUGUUGUUGGGUAGGGGAGCGUUCUGUAAGCCUGUGAAGGUGUGCUGCGAGGCAUGCUGGAGGUAUCAGAAGUGCGAAUGCUGACAUAAGUAACGAUAAUGCGGGUGAAAAACCCGCACGCCGGAAGACCAAGGGUUCCUGUCCAACGUUAAUCGGGGCAGGGUGAGUCGACCCCUAAGGCGAGGCAGAAAUGCGUAGUCGAUGGGAAACAGGUUAAUAUUCCUGUACUGGUGAUAAUUGCGAUGGGGGGACGGAGAAGGCUAGGCUGGCCGGGCGACGGUUGUCCCGGUUUAAGGAUGUAGGUGGGCGAAUUAGGCAAAUCCGGUUCGCUAUACACUGAGGUCUGAUGACGAGUCACUACGGUGGCGAAGUAGCUCAUGCCCCGCUUCCAGGAAAAGCCUCUAAGCUCUAGAUUAUCAUUAAUCGUACCCCAAACCGACACAGGUGGUCAGGUAGAGAAUACUCAGGCGCUUGAGAGAACUCGGGUGAAGGAACUAGGCAAAAUGGUGCCGUAACUUCGGGAGAAGGCACGCUGGCAUUAGGUGAAGUGGUUUACCCAUGGAGCUGAAGCCAGUCGCAGAUACCAGCUGGCUGCAACUGUUUAUUAAAAACACAGCACUGUGCAAACACGAAAGUGGACGUAUACGGUGUGACGCCUGCCCGGUGCUGGAAGGUUAAUUGAUGGGGUUAUCCGUAAGGAGAAGCUCUUGAUCGAAGCCCCAGUAAACGGCGGCCGUAACUAUAACGGUCCUAAGGUAGCGAAAUUCCUUGUCGGGUAAGUUCCGACCUGCACGAAUGGCGUAAUGAUGGCCAGGCUGUCUCCACCCGAGACUCAGUGAAAUUGAACUCGCUGUGAAGAUGCAGUGUACCCGCGGCAAGACGGAAAGACCCCGUGAACCUUUACUAUAGCUUGACACUGAACAUUGAGCCUUGAUGUGUAGGAUAGGUGGGAGGCUUUGAAGUGUGGACGCCAGUCUGCAUGGAGCCAACCUUGAAAUACCACCCUUUAAUGUUUGAUGUUCUAACGUAGCCCCAUAAUCUGGGGUGCGGACAGUGUCUGGUGGGUAGUUUGACUGGGGCGGUCUCCUCCCAAAGCGUAACGGAGGAGCACGAAGGUUGGCUAAGCAUGGUCGGACAUCAUGCGGUUAGUGCAAAGGCAUAAGCCAGCUUGACUGCGAGAGUGACGGCUCGAGCAGGUACGAAAGUAGGUCUUAGUGAUCCGGUGGUUCUGAAUGGAAGGGCCAUCGCUCAACGGAUAAAAGGUACUCCGGGGAUAACAGGCUGAUACCGCCCAAGAGUUCAUAUCGACGGCGGUGUUUGGCACCUCGAUGUCGGCUCAUCACAUCCUGGGGCUGAAGUAGGUCCCAAGGGUAUGGCUGUUCGCCAUUUAAAGUGGUACGCGAGCUGGGUUUAGAACGUCGUGAGACAGUUCGGUCCCUAUCUGCCGUGGGCGUUGGAAGAUUGAAAGGGGCUGCUCCUAGUACGAGAGGACCGGAGUGGACGCACCGCUGGUGUUCGGGUUGUCAUGCCAAUGGCACUGCCCGGUAGCUAAGUGCGGAAGAGAUAACCGCUGAAAGCAUCUAAGCGGGAAACUUGCCUUGAGAUGAGUCUUCCCUGACUCUUUAAGGGUCCUAAAGGAACGUUUAAGACGAAGACGUUGAUAGGCUGGGUGUGUAAGCGUAGCGAUACGUUGAGCUAACCAGUACUAAUGAACCGUGAGGCUUAACCUGACAACACCGAAGGUGUUUUAG
RNAcentral lists this ribosomal RNA (2315 nucleotides) under Providencia stuartii. RNAcentral describes it as "partial 23S ribosomal RNA". It matches the Rfam family "Bacterial large subunit ribosomal RNA", at positions 657 to 2925 of the family's 2925-position model. Lineage: Bacteria; Pseudomonadati; Pseudomonadota; Gammaproteobacteria; Enterobacterales; Morganellaceae. The record is from RNAcentral.